AACGAACGCCGGCGGCACGCCUAACACAUGCAAGUCGCACGAGAAAGUCCCCGCAAGGGGACCGGGUAAAGUGGCAGACGGGUGAGUAACACGUGGGUGACCUGCCCUCAGCUCUGGGAUAAGCCUGGGAAACCGGGGUCUAAUACCGGAUAUGACUCCAUGACGCAUGUUGUGGGGUGGAAAGCCUUGUGCGGCUGAGGAUGGGCCCGCGGCCUAUCAGCUUGUUGGUGGGGGAUGGCCUACCAAGGCGACGACGGGUAGCCGGCCUGAGAGGGCGACCGGCCACACUGGGACUGAGACACGGCCCAGACUCCUACGGGAGGCAGCAGUGGGGAAUCUUGCGCAAUGGGCGAAAGCCUGACGCAGCGACGCCGCGUGAGGGAUGACGGCCUGGUGUAAC
RNAcentral lists this ribosomal RNA (400 nucleotides) under uncultured bacterium. Its description in RNAcentral is "bacterial SSU rRNA". It matches the Rfam family "Bacterial small subunit ribosomal RNA", at positions 28 to 429 of the family's 1533-position model. The record is from RNAcentral.